ACUCCUAACGGGAGGCAGCAGUAGGGAAUCUUCCACAAUGGGCGCAAGCCUGAUGGAGCAACACCGCGUGAGUGAAGAAGGGUUUCGGCUCGUAAAGCUCUGUUGUUAAAGAAGAACACGUAUGAGAGUAACUGUUCAUACGUUGACGGUAUUUAACCAGAAAGUCACGGCUAACUACGUGCCAGCAGCCGCGGUAAUACGUAGGUGGCAAGCGUUAUCCGGAUUUAUUGGGCGUAAAGAGAGUGCAGGCGGUUUUCUAAGUCUGAUGUGAAAGCCUUCGGCUUAACCGGAGAAGUGCAUCGGAAACUGGAUAACUUGAGUGCAGAAGAGGGUAGUGGAACUCCAUGUGUAGCGGUGGAAUGCGUAGAUAUAUGGAAGAACACCAGUGGCGAAGGCGGCUACCUGGUCUGCAACUGACGCUGAGACUCGAAAGCAUGGGUAGCGAACAGGAUUAGAUACCCUGGUAGGAUAGAG
This 474-nucleotide ribosomal RNA is filed under the name uncultured bacterium. Its description in RNAcentral is "bacterial SSU rRNA". It matches the Rfam family "Bacterial small subunit ribosomal RNA", at positions 335 to 799 of the family's 1533-position model. The record is from RNAcentral.